GGUUUGUGGCUCAAGUGGUAGAGUGCUCGCCUAGCAUGACGUAUAAGGCCCUGGGUUCAAUCCUCAGCACCA
This 72-nucleotide transfer RNA is filed under the name Marmota monax (woodchuck). Its description in RNAcentral is "tRNA.Ala". Lineage: Eukaryota; Metazoa; Chordata; Mammalia; Rodentia; Sciuridae. The record is from RNAcentral.